CCUACGGGAGGCAGCAGUAGGGAAUAUUGGACAAUGGGCGCAAGCCUGAUCCAGCCAUCCCGCGUGAAGGAUUAAGGCCCUCUGGGUUGUAAACUUCUUUUCUCUGGGAAUAAAAAGUGGAGUUCACUCCGCCUUGAAGGUACCAGAGGAAUAAGCACCGGCUAACUCCGUGCCAGCAGCCGCGGUAAUACGGAGGGUGCAAGCGUUAUCCGGAUUCACUGGGUUUAAAGGGAGCGUAGGUGGCUUUGUAAGUCAGUGGUGAAAUAUUGCGGCUUAACCGCAAAACUGCCAUUGAUACUGCUUAGCUUGAAUCACGUCGAGGUGGAUGGAAUAAUACAUGUAGCGGUGAAAUGCUUAGAUAUGUAUUAGAACACCGAUUGCGAAGGCAGUUCACUAGGCGUGUAUUGACACUGAGGCUCGAAAGCGUGGGGAUCAAACAGGAUUAGAUACCCUGGUAGUCCACGCCCUAAACGAUGUAAACUCGACAUUAGCGAUAUACUGUUAGUGUCCAAGCGAAAGCGUUAAGUUUACCACCUGGGAAGUACGACCGCAAGGUUGAAACUCAAAGGAAUUGACGG
Molecule: ribosomal RNA, 578 nt
Filed under: uncultured bacterium
Lineage: Bacteria
Description: bacterial SSU rRNA
Rfam family: Bacterial small subunit ribosomal RNA
Source: RNAcentral